This 261-nucleotide ribosomal RNA is filed under the name uncultured archaeon. RNAcentral describes it as "partial 16S ribosomal RNA". It matches the Rfam family "Archaeal small subunit ribosomal RNA", at positions 748 to 1009 of the family's 1478-position model. The record is from RNAcentral.
CAGCCGUAAACUAUGCUCGCUAGGUGUCAGGCAUGGCGCGACCGUGUCUGGUGCCGCAGGGAAGCCGUGAAGCGAGCCACCUGGGAAGUACGGCCGCAAGGGCUGAAACUUAAAGGAAUUGGCGGGGGAGCACAACAACGGGUGGAGCCUGCGGUUAAUUGGACUCAACGCCGGACAACUCACCGGGGACGACAGCAAUAUGUAGGCCAGGCUGAAGACCUUGCCUGAAUCGCUGAGAGGAGGUGCAUGGCGUAGACGUCU